Molecule: non-coding RNA, 177 nt
Filed under: marine eukaryotic metagenome
Description: 6S / SsrS RNA
Rfam family: 6S / SsrS RNA
About the family: E. coli 6S RNA was the first non coding RNA to be sequenced, but its function was unknown until recently. It consists of 184 nucleotides that fold into an extended hairpin structure with a large single-stranded internal bulge.
Source: RNAcentral
CUUCUGUCAUGCUCGUUAUCAUGCUCGUGGUAACUUGAGCCGAUAAGAUAUUAAACGGGGGAUUUUUAAUCAGCAUUGUUGUGCAUGUCCAUCCACGUGGAAAGCCUGAAGUGCUGAAAAAGAUGCCCACUUGAACCUCUGGUUCAAGUUCAAUGCAAUGAGACGGCAUCGCGGUUG